This 87-nucleotide transfer RNA is filed under the name Deltaproteobacteria bacterium. RNAcentral describes it as "tRNA-Ser". It matches the Rfam family "tRNA". Rfam says of the family: Transfer RNA (tRNA) molecules are approximately 80 nucleotides in length. Their secondary structure includes four short double-helical elements and three loops (D, anti-codon, and T loops). Lineage: Bacteria; Pseudomonadati; Myxococcota; Myxococcia. The record is from RNAcentral.
GGAAGGAUGGCCGAGUGGCUGAAGGCGCUCGCCUCGAAAGCGAGUAUACCUUAACGGGUAUCGUGGGUUCAAAUCCCACUCCUUCCG